This 258-nucleotide long non-coding RNA is filed under the name Musa acuminata (dwarf banana). RNAcentral describes it as "long non-coding RNA (MACU_LNC000584)". The record is from RNAcentral. Lineage: Eukaryota; Viridiplantae; Streptophyta; Magnoliopsida; Zingiberales; Musaceae.
GUCCUCAGUUACCGUGUACCUAUAGUCCCUCAUCCAUCUAAUAUCCCAGAGACCGUAUAUCGAGCAUGGUACUGUCAGACCCAUACGGUUUCUACUCGAGUCUCGCUCUAAUCGGAUUCUCCUGGAGAACUCUUUCUCUCUCAACCCGAAUGACCCUAGCUAGGGAUUUGUCUGAGCAAGAACACAUGGGAUAUUCCUCUCAUGACGCCGAGAGUGGAUGAUCCUUUAUCGACACUCAAUAGCCCUCGUAAGGUCGAC